This 227-nucleotide ribosomal RNA is filed under the name uncultured bacterium. RNAcentral describes it as "partial 16S ribosomal RNA". It matches the Rfam family "Bacterial small subunit ribosomal RNA", at positions 118 to 346 of the family's 1533-position model. The record is from RNAcentral.
UGAGCAACCUGCCCUUGACCCUGGAAUAACAGCUGGAAACAGCUGCUAAUACCGGAUACGACCUCCGAUGGCAUCAUCUGGAGGUGGAAAGCUCCGACGGUCAAGGAUGGGCUCGCGGCCUAUCAGCUUGUUGGUGAGGUAAUGGCUCACCAAGGCGACGACGGGUAGCCGGCCUGAGAGGGUGACCGGCCACACUGGGACUGAGACACGGCCCAGACUCCGUAGGA